GAUGAACGCUGGCGGCGUGCUUAAUACAUGCAAGUCGAGCGAACGGACGCGAAUCGUUCUGCUCUGAUGUUACCGACGGAUGGGUGAGUAACGCGUAGAUUACCUAUCUCUAAGGCUUAGGUAACUUCGGGAAACCGGAAUUAAUACCGGAUGAUACUUUCGACCGCAUGGUUCAAAAGUGAAUUACGGUCUUUGUGUGACUUAGAGAUGUAUCCGCGCUGCAUUAGCUAGUUGGUAAGGUAACGCCUUACCAAGGCAACGAUGCAUAGCCGACCGGAGAGGCGGAUAGGCCACCCUGGAACUGAGCCACGGUCAAGACUCCUACGGGAGGCAGCAGUAGGGAAUGUGCCGCAAUGGGCGAAAGCCUGACGGAGCAACGCCGAGUGAGUGACGAAGGUCUUCGGAUAGUAAAACUCUGUUAUUAGGGAAGAACAUAUGUGUGAGUAAAUGUGCACAUCUUGACGGUACCUACUGAGAAAGCCACGGCUAACUACGUG
Molecule: ribosomal RNA, 497 nt
Filed under: uncultured bacterium
Lineage: Bacteria
Description: partial 16S ribosomal RNA
Rfam family: Bacterial small subunit ribosomal RNA
Source: RNAcentral